UAUGGUUGCAGACUCAAAAGUCCAAAUCGAAACUUGAUUGGAAAGCUAGGUUUAACAUUUGCUUGGGAAUAGCUACGGGAUUGGUGUAUCUACAUGAGCAUCCCAGGCUGAAGAUGGUUCCCAGUGACAUUAAAUCCACUAAUAUUCUUUUCGAUAGAUACCUUAAGGCUAAAAUAUCAGACUUUGGAUUGGCAACCCUUUACACCGAAGAUGAUCAAUUCAAGUUCAACAAAGUAGAAGUGCCACACGGAUGAUAUAUGGCACCUAAGUAUGUUCGAGCAACUGUGACAUCUAAAGCUGAUAUCUACAGUUUUGGGGUGGUUAUACUUGAAAUUGUUAGCGGAAGGACAAAUGCAGGACACGGACGAGAUAGCCAGGAAAGUGAAUUUCUUUUAGAUACGGCUUAUGAUUUACAGCGAAAAGGAAGGGUGGUGGACUUGGUUGACAAAACCUUGUCUACCAAGUAUGAUGCAAAAAACAAGCCAUCAUCAUCUUCAAUUUAGCAGUAAAGUGCACCAGUAUAUCCCAACUCUGAGGCCUACUAUGUCUGAAGUAGUGAGUGUUCUUGUUGGCGACAAAAAAAAUUGAGGAGAUUUGUCCGCCUGCUCUGAAUGAUAGUCACGUUGCUCAAAUUGAUUCCUCUGCUUCUCUAGAAGUGACCUCGAGAGAGUCCACAUCAUCCAAUUUUAUCCAAGGGGAAGAUGAAACAAAACAUACAGAUAUCUGAAAGUAGACCCUAGAAAAUUUCAAACGAAACGCAGCAAUCUCUCUCUCUAUUUUGCUCCCAGUUUUUGGACUUUGGUAGACUAUUGCCUCCUAACUAGUGUAUCA
Molecule: long non-coding RNA, 831 nt
Organism: Rosa rugosa (rugosa rose)
Lineage: Eukaryota; Viridiplantae; Streptophyta; Magnoliopsida; Rosales; Rosaceae
Exons: 3
Source: RefSeq, a predicted model, not a curated record